GACGUAGGGGGCGAGCGUUGUCCGGAUUUAUUGGGCGUAAAGCGCGCGUAGGCGGUUCGUUAAGUCGGAUGUGAAAAUCCGGGGCUCAACCCCGGACCUGCAUCCGAUACUGGCGGACUGGAGGCAGGCAGGGGAGAUCGGAAUUCCUGGUGUAGCGGUGAGAUGCGCAGAUAUCAGGAGGAACACCGGUGGCGAAGGCGGAUCUCUGGGCCUGUCCUGACGCUCAGGCGCGAAAGCUAGGGGAGCAAAC
Molecule: ribosomal RNA, 250 nt
Filed under: uncultured bacterium
Lineage: Bacteria
Description: partial 16S ribosomal RNA
Rfam family: Bacterial small subunit ribosomal RNA
Source: RNAcentral